GACAGACAGACAGACAGACAGACAGACAGACAGACAGACAGACAGACAGACAGACAGACAGACAGACAGACAGACAGACAGACAGACAGACAGACAGACAGACAGACAGACAGACAGACAGACAGACAGACAGACAGACAGACAAACAUAGAAGCAUAUGUGUGGUUAGCGGCACCAAAAAUACGUUUGUUAAAAUGCGGGGUUAGCGGCACCAACGUUUUCUUAUCGUAAAUAAACCCUGGGUUGGUUUAAUUGAAUAAAUAAGUCAAUAAACACUCGUUAAGCCAGGUUUGGUUACUUCUAGCACUUCGGAAAUCCGGUGCCGCUAAGCCCUCAAAAAAACAUUCAUGGUUUGUAAAAACACUGCCUUAGCGGCACCAAAAAGUAAUCAAUAUAAUUUUAUUUUAAUUACUUAUUUUAAAACUUUUAUGGCUUAUAGGAAAGAUAUGGAGUGAGCUUUUAUUCCUAAUCACAUGUUUUUGUUGUAUCUUAACCCGGUUCCGCUAUACCCACAAAAUGCCAUUGCCCAAAAGUUUGUUUAUCAUUUGGAUAUUGACAUUUUGGGUGUUUAAUGGCACCAAGAGAAGAGCAAGAUUAAAGUUGCACACUGAGGUAUUUUAAGCCGACAUUUUUGAUUUGAUAGCAAAAAUAAAGGACAAUACUAAAAAGCAUGAAUAGCAGAGGGAGGAGAAUAAAGAACUGAUUUAACUAGAAACUUUAAAAAAAGUGAAACUAAGGAAUGGAAAAUCCUUGAUAUGGAUAUAUGUUAUCAUCUAAAAGUGAAAGGGGAUGUUCCACGAGCUGUUGGCAACACCCAAAUUUGACCUGAACGCUUGGACAGAAAUGUAGUGAACAUGCAGAAUGAAAUAAUAUUGACGAAAGGUGUACUAAAAACGUUCCUUUGUAUUGUAGAUACCAAUAAAAGUUUAAACAUUGAAAAGAUACUUGUUUUAAAUGACAGUUUGUGUAAAAACACUAAGUUCCGGAUACAGAUAAAUUAUAGUGAACUCACUACAAGUGUCACUAUAGCUAAUAAAUCAUUUAUGGAGCAUAUUUAUUUUUAAUGAAUGGACAGCCUGAAUCUUUGAGCGUUAUCUUUUCUUUUUACUUUGUAUUCUUAUAUAUCACAGUAUGUGUAGUCAUUUUAGUAAUUCUUUAUGAAAUUUUGUAUAUCAUGAAAUACAAUAAUUUUACCUUUGUUGUA
Long non-coding RNA from Hydractinia symbiolongicarpus, 1204 nucleotides. RefSeq lists it as uncharacterized. The record is from RefSeq and is a predicted model, not a curated record. Lineage: Eukaryota; Metazoa; Cnidaria; Hydrozoa; Anthoathecata; Hydractiniidae. The transcript has 4 exons.